CCUUCCUCCCUCCAUAUUCCUCCCUCUGUCAUCUCUCUUCCUCCCUCCAUCUUCUCUCUUACUCCCAUUCAAACCUCCAGCAACAUCUUACCACCUUUCCCUCUAUCUCUCUUUCCCUCGUCAUCUCCCUCUGUGCCUCGUCAUCUCCCUCUGUCCCUCGUCAUCUCUAUCUUUCCCUCGUCAUCUCCCUCUGUCCCUCGUCAUCUCCCUCUGUCCCUCGUCUUCUCUCUCUGUCCCUCGUCAUCUCUCUCUUUCCCUCGUCAUCUCCCUCUGUCCCUCGUCAUCUCUCUCUGUCCCUCGUCAUCUCCCUCUGUCCCUCGUCAUCUCUCUCUGUCCCUCGUCAUCUCCCUCUGUCCCUCGUCAUCUCUCUCUGUCCCUCGUCAUCUCCCUCUGUCCCUCGUCAUCUCCCUCUGUCCCUCGUCAUCUCCCUCUGUCCCUCGUCAUCUCUCUCUGCAUCCUUCUGUCUCCUUCCAUCCCUCUCCCCCUCACACCUCAAGGGACAUAUUUAUCAAAUUUAUCUCUCAACAUGCUUCCUUAACCUUACUGUAAUCCCCCUCUCUUUAUAUCUCUCCAUCUCUCCCUCAUCCCUCCAUCUCAUCCUCCAUCCUUCCAUCUCUUCCUCCAUCCAUCUCUCACAACCAGCCCCAUAAUAUAGAGAUGAGUACUGCCUUAUCACAACCAGCCCCAUAAUAUAGAGGUGAGUACUGCCUUAUCACAACCAGCUCCAUAAUGCAGAGGUGAGUACUGCCUUAUCACAACCAGCCCCAUAAUAUAGAGAUGAGUACUGCCUUAUCACAACCAGUCCCAUAAUGCAGAGAUGAGUACUGCCUUAUCACAACCAGCCCCAUAAUAUAGAGAUGAGUACUGCCUUAUCACAACCAGUCCCAUAAUGCAGAGAUGAGUACUGCCUUAUCACAACCAGCCCCAUAAUGCAGAGGUGAGUACUGCCUUAUCACAACCAGCCCCAUAAUAUAGAGAGGAGUACUGCCUUAUGACAACCAGCCCCAUAAUGCAGAGAUGAGUACUGCCUUAUCACAACCAGCCCCAUAAUAUAGAGAGGAGUACUGCCUUAUGACAACCAGUCCCAUAAUGUAGAGAUGAGUACUGCCUUAUCACAACCAGCCCCAUAAUGUAGAGAUGAGUUCUGCCUUAUCACAACCAGCCCCAUAAUGUAGAGAGGAGUACUGCCUUAUGACAACCAGCCCCAUAAUAUAGAGAGGAGUACUGCCUUAUGACAACCAGCCCCAUAAUGUAGAGAGGAGUACUGCCUUAUGACAACCAGCCCCAUAAUAUAGAGAGGAGUACUGCCUUAUGACAACCAGCCCCAUAAUAUAGAGAUGAGUACUGCCUUAUCACUGACAAUGGGAAAUGAAAGGUAAAUAUUUGUAAAGAAAAUGAAAAAUAAGUAACUUUGUUAGACAAUAGUAGGUGUAUAAAUGAUUUAUUAUAUAUUUAAUAUAUGUACUUAGAGAUCCAGUUGUUUCUUUAUAAUGGUCAGUAUAUUGUGUAAACAAUUAUUAUGAGACUUAUGAAACCAUUCAAAAUGCAUGCAAGUCUGAGAUGUCUCUGACUCCUCACAGUAGAGGUUGGCAGCCAUUUAUACAAGGAAUUGAUUUUUAAUUCCAUUUCAAGCGGACCUUCCCAAGUCUGAGCGUGGCUCUACCUGACUGAUCUGUUAGAUGAACUGAUGAAUAAUAUUCACAACUCUAAAUGUAAUUUGUGUCUAGAUUCAACAGGGAUGUUGGCCCAUGUUGACUCCAAUGCUUCCCACAGUGGUGUCAAGUGUCAAGGCUGGAUGUCCUUUGGGUGGUGGACCAUUCUUCAUACACACGGGAAACUGUUGAAUGUGGGAAAACCCAGCAGCGUUGCAGUUCUUGACACACUCAAACCGGUGCGCCUGGCACCUAUUACCAUAACUCGGUGGUAUGGUAUCAAUCGACUCUCUUCAUUAAAAUAUUGACUUUAAAACUAUGCCUCUGAUGUGUUUCUUCAUCACCAACAGGAAAUACUAGUUUAAGUAUAGUGACAGUUUGUUUCCCAACAGGAAAGACUAGUUUAAGUAUAGUGACAGUUUGUUACCCAACAGGAAAGACUAGUUUAAGUAUAGUGACAGUUUGUUUCCCAACAGGAAAGACUAGUUUAAGUAUAGUGACAGUUUGUUUCCCAACAGGAAAGACUAGUUUAAGUAUAGUGACAGUUUGUUACCCAACAGGAUUUAUUUCUCCAUGUGCUCCUGUGUCAAAAGGCCAUUUCAGUCAUCCCAACGACAGUUACACAUUUUGGAUGUGUUGAGUGAUUACUGCAUAUUAACUUAAUUAAACAGUCUUUAUAUGGAUCGUCCCAAAGCAGAUCUACAGAGGGAAACUAAG
RNAcentral lists this long non-coding RNA (2369 nucleotides) under Salmo salar (Atlantic salmon). RNAcentral's name for it is "lncRNA (ENSSSAG00000085343.1)". The record is from RNAcentral. Lineage: Eukaryota; Metazoa; Chordata; Actinopteri; Salmoniformes; Salmonidae.